UAUAAUAAUGAUUYUUUGGAUUCUUUCUUUCUUUUUUUCUUUUUUUUUAGUAGGGACUUCCUGGCUGUAAAGGAGAAAAGGGUGAAAGAGGAGAAUGUGGAACACCAGGGCUAAAAGGGGAGAGAGGACUAGAAGGUCCAUUUUUCCCUAGAGGACCUCGGGGACCUCAGAAAUUAAACUGUUCAUGCAGUAUGAUCCAUUUUGGGUGUUUUAAAAUAUC
This 220-nucleotide long non-coding RNA is filed under the name Dromaius novaehollandiae (emu). Its description in RNAcentral is "lncRNA (ENSDNVG00000000522.1)". Lineage: Eukaryota; Metazoa; Chordata; Aves; Casuariiformes; Dromaiidae. The record is from RNAcentral.